This 683-nucleotide ribosomal RNA is filed under the name Escherichia coli. RNAcentral describes it as "partial 23S ribosomal RNA". It matches the Rfam family "Bacterial large subunit ribosomal RNA", at positions 2230 to 2907 of the family's 2925-position model. Lineage: Bacteria; Pseudomonadati; Pseudomonadota; Gammaproteobacteria; Enterobacterales; Enterobacteriaceae. The record is from RNAcentral.
GACCCGUAAUCCGGGUUGCGGACAGUGUCUGGUGGGUAGUUUGACUGGGGCGGUCUCCUCCUAAAGAGUAACGGAGGAGCACGAAGGUUGGCUAAUCCUGGUCGGACAUCAGGAGGUUAGUGCAAUGGCAUAAGCCAGCUUGACUGCGAGCGUGACGGCGCGAGCAGGUGCGAAAGCAGGUCAUAGUGAUCCGGUGGUUCUGAAUGGAAGGGCCAUCGCUCAACGGAUAAAAGGUACUCCGGGGAUAACAGGCUGAUACCGCCCAAGAGUUCAUAUCGACGGCGGUGUUUGGCACCUCGAUGUCGGCUCAUCACAUCCUGGGGCUGAAGUAGGUCCCAAGGGUAUGGCUGUUCGCCAUUUAAAGUGGUACGCGAGCUGGGUUUAGAACGUCGUGAGACAGUUCGGUCCCUAUCUGCCGUGGGCGCUGGAGAACUGAGGGGGGCUGCUCCUAGUACGAGAGGACCGGAGUGGACGCAUCACUGGUGUUCGGGUUGUCAUGCCAAUGGCACUGCCCGGUAGCUAAAUGCGGAAGAGAUAAGUGCUGAAAGCAUCUAAGCACGAAACUUGCCCCGAGAUGAGUUCUCCCUGACUCCUUGAGAGUCCUGAAGGAACGUUGAAGACGACGACGUUGAUAGGCCGGGUGUGUAAGCGCAGCGAUGCGUUGAGCUAACCGGUACUAAUGA